AGGCAGUGCAAUGUUAGUUGA
This 21-nucleotide microRNA is filed under the name Gadus morhua (Atlantic cod). RNAcentral describes it as "gmo-miR-449b-5p". Its record names the gene gmo-miR-449b-5p. Lineage: Eukaryota; Metazoa; Chordata; Actinopteri; Gadiformes; Gadidae. The record is from miRBase by way of RNAcentral.